UCCCUGGUGGUUCAGUGGCUAGAACUUCACACCCCAAUGCGGGGGGCCGAGGUUCAAUCCCUGGUCAGGGAA
This 72-nucleotide transfer RNA is filed under the name Bos taurus (domestic cattle). It matches the Rfam family "tRNA". From Rfam's summary of the family: Transfer RNA (tRNA) molecules are approximately 80 nucleotides in length. Lineage: Eukaryota; Metazoa; Chordata; Mammalia; Artiodactyla; Bovidae. RNAcentral also lists the same sequence under 5 other names. The record is from Rfam by way of RNAcentral.